This 510-nucleotide ribosomal RNA is filed under the name uncultured bacterium. Its description in RNAcentral is "bacterial SSU rRNA". It matches the Rfam family "Bacterial small subunit ribosomal RNA", at positions 1 to 507 of the family's 1533-position model. The record is from RNAcentral.
CGUACGAUACGAGUUUAUCCUGGCUCAGAUUGAACGCUGGCGGCAUGCCUUACACAUGCAAGUCGAACGGUAACGCGGGGCAACCUGGCGACGAGUGGCGAACGGGUGAGUAAUGCAUCGGAACGUGCCCAGUAGUGGGGGAUAGCCCGGCGAAAGCCGGAUUAAUACCGCAUACGACCUACGGGUGAAAGCGGGGGACCGUAAGGCCUCGCGCUGUUGGAGCGGCCGAUGUCAGAUUAGGUAGUUGGUGGGGUAAAGGCCUACCAAGCCUUCGAUCUGUAGCUGGUCUGAGAGGACGACCAGCCACACUGGGACUGAGACACGGCCCAGACUCCUACGGGAGGCAGCAGUGGGGAAUUUUGGACAAUGGGCGCAAGCCUGAUCCAGCCAUGCCGCGUGCGGGAAGAAGGCCUGCGGGUUGUAAAGCCCUUUAGGCGGGGAGGAACGGUCGGGUGCCAAUACCACCCGGCGCUGACGUUACCCGCAGAAUAAGCACCGGCUAACUCCGUG